GCUGUCUCCAACGGUGGGGAAGAUCCGAUUUCAGAAAUGGAAGCUAUUUUGCCCCAUGCUCCCUCCUGAGCUGAUCAAUGGCAAUUGUUCACAACAAUAGCACAUGGCCAGUCCACCCCAGGUCCUUUCUCCUGACCAGAGAAGCGUAAAGCUGGAAGGUGCAGGAAAACAUCCAGUUGCUGAGCUGACUUCACUGAAGAAGCCCGGAGAGCUGAGCGCAUUUUCAGUCUCCCAAAUACCAGUCGAACUCACUGCAUGAGAAUGCCGUGGAUCGUGUCUUAACCCCCUUCUGCUCAGUCUCACCAGUGAAAAAUGGAAGAUGCAUACUGGCAUAGAAAGAAGAUCACAAGCUUCGGAGCCAGAGAGACUUAGGUUCAAAUUCCAGCUCAACCCCAUUCCUCUCUGAGUGAUGGUAGAUAACUAUUCAAGAUUCUGCAAAAGGGCCCAUGAAGCCCGAGGUGGACUUCGUUGGCCUUGCCUUCAUCAAAGAGAGGCUCGAGGAGUGCACAGCUGCCAGCUCUUGAGGACAGGCUGCUGUGAGCAGCAACACAGCUGAGCUCCCUUGGCUUCAUGGUGGGAGAUUCAUAAGCUGCCUGGAGAGUCGUGUGUUGGUGUUCUGGCCAGUAGUCCUCGCUGAGCUGCCGGCCAGCUCUGCAUCAGCUGCCAGACCUGUGAGUGAGGAAGCUUCAUGAAGACCCCGGCCUCGGUCCCCAUCCGACAGCAACCUCACCAGACACGCUGAACGAGAACCGCCUCGCUGACCCCAGUCAAGCCCUGGAGAUGAGAGAGAUUUUCCUCCUACUCUUCCUCCUGAUGAAGAUUGCUGCUGUUUUAUGCUGCUAAGUUUGGGCUGGCUUAGCACACAGCAGUAGAUAGCUUAAACACUGAUCAAUGGCAUAUUUCUAAAAAUUGUCAAAGGCCUUACACUAAUUUCCUCUUAAUAUUCUUUUUCUCUCUCCUUUACCCUUCCUAUUUCUGUAAGAAAGCGUCCUGAUGGUAAAGCGGGGCAGUAGUGCAGAAGGUGAUUUUUGACCAAGCUCUGCCCCCGAGGGCAAUGAUCAUUAGUGGGCGUCGCCAGGUUGUAGGACUGCGUCCAUCUCUUGUCUCUCAGAAACUCUCCAUGUGCGCAGGGACAGGGUAGGACACCCGUCCAUACGUCUGGGGUCUUUGUUUCUCGAGCUGUGACACGUACUUCGGCUCAGUGUCUCUCCCUGACUCUUACUGGACUUGGGGCCGGGUUUUGGGGUAUCACUUGGCAGUGUGCAAACACCACGUCUCUGAGGGACGUCUGUGUGAGGCAGAGGAAAGCUCUAGAAGGUGGGGCAGGAGGAAAAGUGAGAAAUCACGCAGGAGUGAGGAAUGUUAACUCCCAUUGUACCUGUUGUCACAUUAUUCUAAAACAUAAUGUAUGUUUUGCCCUGUGAAUAAGACUCAAAGACUUUCAGAAUCACCUUUCUUACCUUAAAGAGUGAGUUUUCUGUAUUCAAUGUGUAAUUAUAUGAAAGUCGUGGCUAUUUGACAUCUGGGAUGGACUCAGCAGUACCUCACUCAGACAUCGCCGCACCUUCUGAAGAAAGAAACUUGUUGGCCUCUUUAGAGUCUUGAGAAUGAGAGGAAGAAUUGAGCGUUAGUGGCGUCCUCUAGGAAAAUGGAGAAGAGGAAAGAGGAGAGCCACUGCCACGGGGCUACCCUCCCUGAUGAGGAUUCUGCCCCAGUCCCUUGCGCCAGCGAACAGGCAGGACACAGCAGGACCUGGGGGCUGCCUGCCUGGCCGGCCCCCUGCCAGCCGCGGAGGCACUACUGGCAGCAGGGGCUCCGGUCAGCUCUAGGAAAGGAGGAAAGGAGGCAGGACGGUGCCCAGUCGGCUUUCCCCCACGUUCUCUGUUUCUCCCAGGCUUAGAGAAGUGCUGUGCUGCUGCCAUGGCAAGACAAGCCGACAGCAGAGUUUGGCAUUUAUUGAGCACAUACUGAGUGCGAGGCUCCUGGGGACCAGGAUGAAUAAAGCACACUGUCCCCCCGACCCUGAGACAGGCUCCUGCAAGUGGUCUCUGUGUAACGUGGGAGGGAGCGAGUGCAGGGCUGUCCGAGACUUGGGGAUGAGAGGGGCUGCUACUGAUGGAGCCAAAUGCUGGCUGUUCAAAACCCUGCGCAGCCGUUCUUCCUCAUUUCACUGCUUGCUGUUAUACUCCUGUCUGGUCGCUGACCGCUUUUUAGGGUGUUCUGCACCACUUCCCAGGAGUGUCACAGAAGGGACUCGUCCAUGUAACUAAAUAAAGAAUCGUGUUAACUGGCAUCUACUGAGGGCUUUCUGGGUGAGACACCGUAUGAAAACGUCUAUCAAUAUUUUCUUGUUUAAUCCUCCUAACAACCUUACUAAGAAGGUUCUCUUGUCCUUGUUUUACAGAUGUGCCAAAUGAGGCACGGAGGGUUUCACUCACGUGCUUAAGUCUCACUGCUGGCACGUGGCGGAGCCAGGAUUCGGACUCAGUUCCAGAGCCCACAUUCUAUAUAUGUCUGCUUCCAAGUGAACACUGCUGUCCCUCCUAAUCAUGAGAUUUUAUGCUCAAGUAAUAAACUCUCCGUUGGACCAAUUCUUUCUGAGCAGGAAUGCUGUGUGCCUGAGCCCUGCACGUACAGAUCAGACCCCAGCCUCUCCCAUGCCUCCCUGGGAGUCCCAGGCUGGUGGCCCUCCGGGGUGGCUCCCGAGAAGGAAGCCGGGUGUGGCCUUAUGCCCGUGCGACGGAGCCCUCACCUUCUUAGGACCUGGAACAAGGGGUCACAUUGCGCCCACCCUGAAACUCGUCAAAUUUUGGAUCAAUAUCCUUUUCUUUUUGGCGGAUGUCGGGAUUUGAUUUGUCCUUGGUACCUGUUAGGGUCGCAGUCACACCAGAGCCCACUCCUUCUGUGAGAAUCCCCGUUGGCUUGGUCCUAACCGGCUGCUGUACUUCAGAAAAAAAUUUUACAUUUUUACACCAAAAUAUGUAAGUUGGAAAGCAAGGAUUUUCCAAAUACUCUUCCUGGACGUUUUCAGUUCACAUACCCUAAGCCACGAAAAAGAAAAAGAAGUUACUGCCUGCCUGUGGUAGGUCCCUUCAGAAGCAGCCGGUGUGAUCAGUUUCUGGGUGUCCUUUGGAGAUGGUCAAUGUACGUAGCAGCAAGUGAGUGAGG
Molecule: long non-coding RNA, 3168 nt
Filed under: Equus caballus (horse)
Lineage: Eukaryota; Metazoa; Chordata; Mammalia; Perissodactyla; Equidae
Description: lncRNA (ENSECAG00000035607.3)
Source: RNAcentral